Molecule: long non-coding RNA, 295 nt
Filed under: Salmo salar (Atlantic salmon)
Lineage: Eukaryota; Metazoa; Chordata; Actinopteri; Salmoniformes; Salmonidae
Description: lncRNA (ENSSSAG00000082432.1)
Source: RNAcentral
GCUCCUGGAAAACUACUGGGUGUGCAGGCUUUUGUUCCUGACCUGCGCUAACAGAUCUGAUUCAUCUAAUCAUUAACACCUUGAUUACCCGAAUCAGAUGAGCCCUUCAGUCCAUACAGACAAGGACAGUUCAUGAAGAAACACAAGGUCUACACAUGAGAAAGAGCUGUUUCACUGUCACCUAAAAUCCAUUUGAACAAAUCAUUUUAAUUUUGGUAUUUUAAUUUAUAUGUUGAGUAUAUAGGAAUCUCUUGUUGCUGCUAAAUGCAAAUAAAUAUUUGCAUGUGUAUCUACU